UACGAAGGGUGCAAGCGUUACUCGGAAUUACUGGGCGUAAAGCGUGCGUAGGUGGUUCGUUAAGUCUGAUGUGAAAGCCCCGGGCUCAACCUGGGAACUGCAUUGGAAACUAACGGGCUCGAGUGUGGCAGAGGGGGGUGGAAUUCCACGUGUAGCAGUGAAAUGCGUAGAGAUGUGGAGGAACACCGAUGGCGAAGGCAGCCCCCUGGGCUAACACUGACGCUCAGGCACGAAAGCGUGGGGAGCAAACAGG
This 253-nucleotide ribosomal RNA is filed under the name uncultured bacterium. RNAcentral's name for it is "partial 16S ribosomal RNA". It matches the Rfam family "Bacterial small subunit ribosomal RNA", at positions 524 to 776 of the family's 1533-position model. The record is from RNAcentral.